RNAcentral lists this ribosomal RNA (482 nucleotides) under uncultured bacterium. Its description in RNAcentral is "partial 16S ribosomal RNA". It matches the Rfam family "Bacterial small subunit ribosomal RNA", at positions 28 to 507 of the family's 1533-position model. The record is from RNAcentral.
GAUGAACGCUAGCGGCAGGCCUAAUACAUGCCAGUCGGACGGGAUUCAGGAGCUUGCUUCUGAUGAGAGUGGCGCACGGGUGCGUAACACGUAUGUAACCUACCUUUAUCAGGGGGAUAGCCUCUCGAAAGAGAGAUUAAGCCCGCAUAAAAUCACAGCACAGCAUUGUGUAAUGAUCAAAUAUUUAUAGGAUAAAGAUGGGCAUGCGGAACAUUAGCUAGAUGGCGGGGUAACGGCCCACCAUGGCGACGAUGUUUAGGGGAUCUGAGAGGAUGGCCCCCCACACUGGUACUGAGACCCGGACCAGAAUCCUACGGGAGGCAGCAGUAAGGAACAUUGGGCAAGGGGCGGAAGCCUGAACCAGCCAUGCCGCGUGCAGGAAGACGGCCCUACGGGUUGUAAACUGCUUUUAUACGGGAAGAAACCCAGAUACGUGUAUCUGGCUGAAUGUACUGUAAGAAUAAGGAUCGGCUAACUCCGUG